GCGGCUAUAGCUCAGCUGGGAGAGCGUCGUAUGUCCAAUCUGAAGGUCCUGUGUUCGAUCCACAGUGGCCGCA
This 73-nucleotide transfer RNA is filed under the name Cladophialophora carrionii CBS 160.54. Its description in RNAcentral is "tRNA-Gly (TCC) (tRNA-Gly-TCC-2-1)". The record is from RNAcentral. Lineage: Eukaryota; Fungi; Ascomycota; Eurotiomycetes; Chaetothyriales; Herpotrichiellaceae.